UACGUAGGGUCCAAGCGUUAAUCGGAAUUACUGGGCGUAAAGCGUGCGUAUGCGGUCUCGCAAGUCCGAUGUGAAAUCCCCGGGCUUAACCUGGGAACUGCGUUGGAAACUAUGAGGCUAGAGUGCGGCAGAGGGGGGUGGAAUUCCAGGUGUAGCAGUGAAAUGCGUAGAUAUGCGGAGGAACACCGAUGGCGAAGGCAAUCCCCUGGGCCUGUACUGACGCUCAUGCACGAAAGCGUGGGGAGCAAACAGG
Molecule: ribosomal RNA, 253 nt
Filed under: uncultured prokaryote
Description: partial 16S ribosomal RNA
Rfam family: Bacterial small subunit ribosomal RNA
Source: RNAcentral